GUUAAGCGACUAAGCGUACACGGUGGAUGCCCUGGCAGUCAGAGGCGAUGAAGGACGUGCUAAUCUGCGAUAAGCGUCGGUAAGGUGAUAUGAACCGUUAUAACCGGCGAUUUCCGAAUGGGGAAACCCAGUGUGAUUCGUCACACUAUCAUUAACUGAAUCCAUAGGUUAAUGAGGCGAACCGGGGGAACUGAAACAUCUAAGUACCCCGAGGAAAAGAAAUCAACCGAGAUUCCCCCAGUAGCGGCGAGCGAACGGGGAGCAGCCCAGAGCCUGAAUCAGUGUGUGUGUUAGUGGAAGCGUCUGGAAAGGCGCGCGAUACAGGGUGACAGCCCCGUACACAAAAAUGCACAUGCUGUGAGCUCGAUGAGUAGGGCGGGACACGUGGUAUCCUGUCUGAAUAUGGGGGGACCAUCCUCCAAGGCUAAAUACUCCUGACUGACCGAUAGUGAACCAGUACCGUGAGGGAAAGGCGAAAAGAACCCCGGCGAGGGGAGUGAAAAAGAACCUGAAACCGUGUACGUACAAGCAGUGGGAGCACAGAGCAAUCUGUGUGACUGCGUACCUUUUGUAUAAUGGGUCAGCGACUUAUAUUCUGUAGCAAGGUUAACCGAAUAGGGGAGCCGAAGGGAAACCGAGUCUUAACUGGGCGUUAAGUUGCAGGGUAUAGACCCGAAACCCGGUGAUCUAGCCAUGGGCAGGUUGAAGGUUGGGUAACACUAACUGGAGGACCGAACCGACUAAUGUUGAAAAAUUAGCGGAUGACUUGUGGCUGGGGGUGAAAGGCCAAUCAAACCGGGAGAUAGCUGGUUCUCCCCGAAAGCUAUUUAGGUAGCGCCUCGUGAAUUCAUCUCCGGGGGUAGAGCACUGUUUCGGCAAGGGGGUCAUCCCGACUUACCAACCCGAUGCAAACUGCGAAUACCGGAGAAUGUUAUCACGGGAGACACACGGCGGGUGCUAACGUCCGUCGUGAAGAGGGAAACAACCCAGACCGCCAGCUAAGGUCCCAAAGUCAUGGUUAAGUGGGAAACGAUGUGGGAAGGCCCAGACAGCCAGGAUGUUGGCUUAGAAGCAGCCAUCAUUUAAAGAAAGCGUAAUAGCUCACUGGUCGAGUCGGCCUGCGCGGAAGAUGUAACGGGGCUAAACCAUGCACCGAAGCUGCGGCAGCGACGCUGAUGCGUUGUUGGGUAGGGGAGCGUUCUGUAAGCCUGUGAAGGUGUGCUGUGAGGCAUGCUGGAGGUAUCAGAAGUGCGAAUGCUGACAUAAGUAACGAUAAAGCGGGUGAAAAGCCCGCUCGCCGGAAGACCAAGGGUUCCUGUCCAACGUUAAUCGGGGCAGGGUGAGUCGACCCCUAAGGCGAGGCCGAAAGGCGUAGUCGAUGGGAAACAGGUUAAUAUUCCUGUACUUGGUGUUACUGCGAAGGGGGGACGGAGAAGGCUAUGUUGGCCGGGCGACGGUUGUCCCGGUUUAAGCGUGUAGGCUGGUUUUCCAGGCAAAUCCGGAAAAUCAAGGCUGAGGCGUGAUGACGAGGCACUACGGUGCUGAAGCAACAAAUGCCCUGCUUCCAGGAAAAGCCUCUAAGCAUCAGGUAACAUCAAAUCGUACCCCAAACCGACACAGGUGGUCAGGUAGAGAAUACCAAGGCGCUUGAGAGAACUCGGGUGAAGGAACUAGGCAAAAUGGUGCCGUAACUUCGGGAGAAGGCACGCUGAUAUGUAGGUGAAGUCCCUCGCGGAUGGAGCUGAAAUCAGUCGAAGAUACCAGCUGGCUGCAACUGUUUAUUAAAAACACAGCACUGUGCAAACACGAAAGUGGACGUAUACGGUGUGACGCCUGCCCGGUGCCGGAAGGUUAAUUGAUGGGGUCAGCGCAAGCGAAGCUCUUGAUCGAAGCCCCGGUAAACGGCGGCCGUAACUAUAACGGUCCUAAGGUAGCGAAAUUCCUUGUCGGGUAAGUUCCGACCUGCACGAAUGGCGUAAUGAUGGCCAGGCUGUCUCCACCCGAGACUCAGUGAAAUUGAACUCGCUGUGAAGAUGCAGUGUACCCGCGGCAAGACGGAAAGACCCCGUGAACCUUUACUAUAGCUUGACACUGAACAUUGAGCCUUGAUGUGUAGGAUAGGUGGGAGGCUUUGAAGUGUGG
Molecule: ribosomal RNA, 2142 nt
Filed under: Escherichia coli
Lineage: Bacteria; Pseudomonadati; Pseudomonadota; Gammaproteobacteria; Enterobacterales; Enterobacteriaceae
Description: partial 23S ribosomal RNA
Rfam family: Bacterial large subunit ribosomal RNA
Source: RNAcentral